AGGGUUUGAUCAUGGCUCAGAUUGAACGCUGGCGGUAUGCUUAACACAUGCAAGUCGAACGGAAACGAUACUAGCUUGCUAGUAGGCGUCGAGUGGCGGACGGGUGAGUAACGCGUAGGAAUCUGCCUGAUAGUGGGGGAUAGCCCGAAGAAAUUCGGAUUAAUACCGCAUAAUCUAUUCGUAGUAAAGUGGGGGACUUUCGAGCCUCACGCUAUCAGAUGAGCCUGCGUAAGAUUAGCUAGUUGGUAGGGUAAAAGCCUACCAAGGCUACGAUCUUUAGCUGGUCUGAGAGGAUGAUCAGCCACAUCGGGACUGAGACACGGCCCGAACUCCUACGGGAGGCAGCAGUGGGGAAUAUUGGACAAUGGGGGCAACCCUGAUCCAGCAAUACCGCGUGUGUGAAGAAGGCCUGAGGGUUGUAAAGCACUUUCAAUUGUGAAGAAAAGUUAACGGUUAAUAACCGUUAGCCUUGACGUUAACUUUAGAAGAAGCACCGGCUAACUCCGUGCCAGCAGCCGCGGUAAUACGGAGGGUGCAAGCGUUAAUCGGAAUUACUGGGCGUAAAGCGUACGUAGGCGGUUUAUUAAGUCAGAUGUGAAAGCCCCGGGCUUAACCUGGGAACUGCAUUUG
This 630-nucleotide ribosomal RNA is filed under the name uncultured bacterium. RNAcentral describes it as "bacterial SSU rRNA". It matches the Rfam family "Bacterial small subunit ribosomal RNA", at positions 8 to 629 of the family's 1533-position model. The record is from RNAcentral.